RNAcentral lists this ribosomal RNA (445 nucleotides) under uncultured bacterium. RNAcentral describes it as "partial 16S ribosomal RNA". It matches the Rfam family "Bacterial small subunit ribosomal RNA", at positions 354 to 796 of the family's 1533-position model. The record is from RNAcentral.
GUGAGGAAUAUUGGACAAUGGGCGCAAGCCUGAUCCAGCCAUGCCGCGUGCAGGAAGACGCAUCUAUGGUGUGUAAACUGCUUUUGUACGGGAAGAAACACUCCCUCGUGAGGGAGCUUGACGGUACCGUAAGAAUAAGGAUCGGCUAACUCCGUGCCAGCAGCCGCGGUAAUACGGAGGAUCCAAGCGUUAUCCGGAAUCAUUGGGUUUAAAGGGUCCGUAGGCGGUUUAAUAAGUCAGUGGUGAAAGCCCAUCGCUCAAGGAUGGAACGGCCAUUGAUACUGUUAGACUUGAAUUACAAGGAAGUAACUAGAAUAUGUAGUGUAGCGGUGAAAUGCUUAGAUAUUACAUGGAAUACCAAUUGCGAAGGCAGGUUACUACUUGUGGAUUGACGCUGAUGGACGAAAGCGUGGGGAGCGAACAGGAUUAGAAACCCUAGUAGUCC